CCAUCCCAACCGACCCUCUUGGUAGUUCCACCACCCUUAGAAGUGUGGGGAACAGUGGUCCAGUAGAGGGCUUGCUCUGUGAGAGCACCUAAAUUGUGGAACUUCCCACAAAGGAAGGGUGAAGAACCUUUGUUGUUAUAGCUUUAGCUGUUUGCUGAAGACACACCUCUGUAACUGACCUUGACAGAGCCCUUGGAUAGUAACAGGAUCUGAUACUGAGCUCAGAGUUGCCAGAGGAACCAAGUGGAAGAAAAGAAGGAUUGGCUACACAUUUGAUCCAGAUAUUUUGGGUGAAGACUAAGAAGGCUAAAGGCUAUAACAGCAAACAGAAAUGCUUUAGUGUUGACCAAGAGGAUGAAUAGGAAGGACCUGUGCCACUUGUUGUUGUGGAUUGUAAUAUAAUAAGCUAUCAUCGUAAAACAAUGGAAUGCAGUCAUCUACCAGCUGAACAAAGACUUCUGGCAAACAAAAUCUAUGAAGUCAAUGGACUCUUACUGGUUUCAUCAAAUUUUGGAUCAGUUCCUGCUGGGAUAACAGAACC
Molecule: long non-coding RNA, 541 nt
Organism: Rhineura floridana
Lineage: Eukaryota; Metazoa; Chordata; Lepidosauria; Squamata; Rhineuridae
Exons: 3
Source: RefSeq, a predicted model, not a curated record